GACAGAGGAGCCAAGCGUUGUCCGGAUUGACUGGGCGUAAAGCGCACGCAGGCGGGUGCGCGCGUGGGGUGUGAAACCUGGCCGCUUAACGGCCAGCGGCCAUCCCAUACGGCGCGCUGGAGCCUUGCAGAGGGCGGUGGAAUUGCCGGUGUAGUGGUGAAAUGCGUAGAGAUCGGGAGGAACACCUGUGGCGAAGGCGGCCCCCUGGCCGGCCCGUGACACCUGGAGACGCGAAGGCGUGGGGAGCGAACGGG
Molecule: ribosomal RNA, 254 nt
Filed under: uncultured bacterium
Lineage: Bacteria
Description: partial 16S ribosomal RNA
Rfam family: Bacterial small subunit ribosomal RNA
Source: RNAcentral